UACGUAGGGUGCGAGCGUUAAUCGGAAUUACUGGGCGUAAAGCGUGCGCAGGCGGUGAUGUAAGACAGGUGUGAAAUCCCCGGGCUUAACCUGGGAACUGCAUUUGUGACUGCAUCGCUGGAGUGCGGCAGAGGGGGAUGGAAUUCCGCGUGUAGCAGUGAAAUGCGUAGAUAUGCGGAGGGACACCGAUGGCGAAGGCAAUCCCCUGGGCCUGCACUGACGCUCAUGCACGAAAGCGUGGGGAGCAAACAGG
RNAcentral lists this ribosomal RNA (253 nucleotides) under uncultured bacterium. RNAcentral describes it as "partial 16S ribosomal RNA". It matches the Rfam family "Bacterial small subunit ribosomal RNA", at positions 524 to 776 of the family's 1533-position model. The record is from RNAcentral.